This 301-nucleotide ribosomal RNA is filed under the name uncultured bacterium. Its description in RNAcentral is "partial 16S ribosomal RNA". It matches the Rfam family "Bacterial small subunit ribosomal RNA", at positions 509 to 807 of the family's 1533-position model. The record is from RNAcentral.
CAGUCGCCGCGGUAAUACGGAGGGUGCAAGCGUUAAUCGGAAUUACUGGGCGUAAAGCGCACGCAGGCGGUUUGUUAAGUCAGAUGUGAAAUCCCCGAGCUUAACUUGGGAACUGCAUUUGAAACUGGCAAGCUAGAGUCUUGUAGAGGGGGGUAGAAUUCCAGGUGUAGCGGUGAAAUACGUAGAGAUCUGGAGGAAUACCGGUGGCGAAGGCGGCCCCCUGGACAAAGACUGACGCUCAGGUGCGAAAGCGUGGGGAGCAAACAGGAUUAGAUACCCCUGUAGUCCCUGUCUCUUAUAC